GGCAAGGUACUCAAGUCUGGUCCAAGAGGCAUGCCUUGAGAGCAUGUGUGCACCCGCACGCGAGGGUUCAAAUCCCUCUCUUGCCA
Molecule: transfer RNA, 86 nt
Filed under: Candidatus Heimdallarchaeota archaeon
Lineage: Archaea; Promethearchaeati; Candidatus Heimdallarchaeota
Description: tRNA-Ser
Rfam family: tRNA
About the family: Transfer RNA (tRNA) molecules are approximately 80 nucleotides in length. Their secondary structure includes four short double-helical elements and three loops (D, anti-codon, and T loops).
Source: RNAcentral